This 200-nucleotide ribosomal RNA is filed under the name uncultured bacterium. Its description in RNAcentral is "partial 16S ribosomal RNA". It matches the Rfam family "Bacterial small subunit ribosomal RNA", at positions 29 to 259 of the family's 1533-position model. The record is from RNAcentral.
AGCGAACGCUGGCGGCAGGCCUAACACAUGCAAGUCGAACGCACCUUCGGGUGAGUGGCGGACGGGUGAGUAACACGUGGGAACGUACCUUUUGGUUCGGAAUAACGCAGGGAAACUUGUGCUAAUACCGAAUGUGCCCUUCGGGGAAAGAUUUAUCGCCAUUAGAGCGGCCCGCGUCUGAUUAGCUAGUUGGUGAGGUA